AUUGAACGCUGGCGGCAUGCCUAACACAUGCAAGUCGAACGGUAGCAGGCCCGCAAGGGUGCUGACGAGUGGCGGACGGGUGAGUAAUACAUAGGAAUCUGCCUGAUAGUGGGGGAUAACUUAGGGAAACUUAAGCUAAUACCGCAUAAGCCCUACGGGGGAAAGCAGGGGAUCGCAAGACCUUGCGCUAACAGAUGAGCCUAUGUCGGAUUAGCUAGUUGGUAGGGUAAAGGCCUACCAAGGCGACGAUCCAUAACUGGUUUGAGAGAACGACCAGUCACACUGGGACUGAGACACGGCCCAGACUCCUACGGGAGGCAGCAGUGGGGAAUAUUGGACAAUGGGGGCAACCCUGAUCCAGCAAUGCCGCGUGUGUGAAGAAGGCCUUCGGGUUGUAAAGCACUUUCGGUGGGGACGAAAAGCUUAAGGCUAAUAUCCUUGAGUAUUGACUUAACCCAAAGAAGAAGCACCGGCUAACUCUGUGCCAGCAGCCGCGGUAAUACAGAGGGUGCGAGCGUUAAUCGGAAUUACUGGGCGUAAAGCGCGCGUAGGCGGUUUGGUAAGUUGGAUGUGAAAUCCCCGGGCUCAACCUGGGAACUGCAUUCAAUACUGCCUCACUAGAGUAUGGUAGAGGGAAGCGGAAUUCCACAUGUAGCGGUGAAAUGCGUAGAUAUGUGGAGGAACAUCAAUGGCGAAGGCAGCUUCCUGGACCAAUACUGACGCUGAGGCGCGAAAGCGUGGGUAGCAAACAGGAUUAGAUACCCUGGUAGUCCACGCCCUAAACGAUGAGAACUAGAUGUUGGGAAGUAUAUCUUCUUAGUGUCGCAGCUAACGCGUUAAGUUCUCCGCCUGGGGAGUACGGCCGCAAGGUUG
This 873-nucleotide ribosomal RNA is filed under the name uncultured bacterium. RNAcentral's name for it is "bacterial SSU rRNA". It matches the Rfam family "Bacterial small subunit ribosomal RNA", at positions 28 to 896 of the family's 1533-position model. The record is from RNAcentral.